Ipomoea nil (Japanese morning glory) is the source of this 1126-nucleotide long non-coding RNA. RefSeq lists it as uncharacterized. The transcript is spliced from 4 exons. NCBI's taxonomy places the organism in Eukaryota, Viridiplantae, Streptophyta, Magnoliopsida, Solanales, Convolvulaceae. The record is from RefSeq and is a predicted model, not a curated record.
AACACUCCGAUGUUAUUGCAGCUCGCCUCUGUUUUCGCUUCUAUGUAUCGUUUCUGGAAACUUCACCACAAAGAAAUUGCUCAAACUAUAAUCUCUACUCAUUUCUCUCGAUCUCCUUUUUUUUGUCUAUUCAUCGACUAACCAAUUACUUCUGAGCUUUGAAGUAACCGACUCACAACUGCUCACUGAUUACCCACAGAUUCCGGCGUUGGCACUGCGGUUCUUCGUCGUGCGAAAACCCACAAUAAAGAUGCGAAAAACUUCAACUUUCCCGUAGUGCGUUUGGCGGUGUAGAAUUGCAGUCAGCUACAUAUUCUGGUAGCGGCAGGUGUUCGUCUUGCGGAAACAAUCUGGGCGGCAAAGCAAACAAUACCAUGCAUCGAACAGAGACUACAACAUCUGUAAGAUGUGCACAAAAAACUAUGGCAAUAUUGGACAAAGCUGGAAUUAAGCUCUCAAUUUACAGCCACAAAGAACAACAUACAGAGAAGGCAGUUUAGCGCAGAUUUCACACACAGGUAAAGCAAAUCAGGAACAUAUUGCAGAUGAAAUAUCAAGUCAAUAUUUCAUAGAGUUUGAAUGUAGAAUAGCAGUUUGUGAAAGCCUUCUGGCCCCAAGAACAGUUCAACAGGAUUCACAAUUGGAGCAAAUGCUGACACCAAUUGCAAAUAAACAACAGCAAUGUAUCAAUAAGAACAACAUGAGUGCCAAUCAGAACAGAUAGUGUUGGUUAACUUAACCAUUCGGGACAUCUUAACCAUGAAAAACUAUAUCAAAUUUGAUUGGCACUUGACCCAUCCCCUUACUCGUGUAAUUCCGAUCACACACCAUGUAAAUGUAGUGAAGAUGACACGUAGCUAUAACAGAUUUUGUUGGAAAGCAAAUGAGUAACCAUUUCUUUUGUUCAAGAACAUGAUAUUAACUUACCUUCUACUUGUCCAAGUUUUUGAGGUAGAUUGUUAGCGCUGCAUAACCACCCAUUGAGUGACCGGAGAUGGAUGCCGUUGCUGUAUCAGCCUGUGGAAAGUGUUCAGAAACCUGUAACAUCUUCUUCGUUGAUUCCAGAAACCUGUAAUUUGUUUUUGGCUUUGUGUUCAUAUAAUAUGUUUUUUCGCUUUGUGUUGAA